RNAcentral lists this unclassified non-coding RNA (310 nucleotides) under uncultured bacterium. RNAcentral's name for it is "partial 16S-23S ribosomal RNA intergenic spacer". The stretch from base 1 to 69 matches the Rfam family "tRNA". The record is from RNAcentral.
AUUAGCUCAGGUGGUUAGAGCNCNUCCCUGAUAAGGGUGAGGUCCCUGGUUCAAGUCCAGGAUGGCCCAGAUAAACCAAACCGGGAAUUUAGCCCCUCUUCUUGGCGAAAGUCAGAGAGUCGGCUGGAGCUCUUCUCCAGUGAAAAGAACCUUGAAAACUGCAUAACUAAAAAGAAAAUUCCAAGGGAGAUAAAUAGAUUUAUCGUCUGUUUAUCUCAAGCAGAAACCGUAAAAACAGAGAAUCAUACUUUUCGUAAAAGAGAGUAAAAACUGGUCAAGCUACAAAGAGCUAACGGUGGAUACCUUGGCA